UCUCCUGGAAAACGGGUGGUAAUGCCGGAUGCUCCAGUUGAUCGCAUGGUGUUCUGGGAAAGCCUUUGCGGCAUGGGAUGGGGUCGCGUCCUAUCAGCUUGAUGGCGGGGUAACGGCCCACCAUGGCUUCGACGGGUAGCCGGCCUGAGAGGGCGACCGGCCACAUUGGGACUGAGAUACGGCCCAGACUCCUACGGGAGGCAGCAGUGGGGAAUAUUGCACAAUGGGCGCAAGCCUGAUGCAGCGACGCCGCGUGAGGGAUGGAGGCCUUCGGGUUGUAAACCUCUUUUGUUAGGGAGCAAGGCAUUUUGUGUUGAGUGUACCUUUCGAAUAAGCACCGGCUAACUACGUGCCAGCAGCCGCGGUAAUACGUAGGGUGCAAGCGUUAUCCGGAAUUAUUGGGCGUAAAGGGCUCGUAGGCGGUUCGUCGCGUCCGGUGUGAAAGUCCAUCGCUUAACGGUGGAUCCGCGCCGGGUACGGGCGGGCUUGAGUGCGGUAGGGGAGACUGGAAUUCCCGGUGUAACGGUGGAAUGUGUAGAUAUCGGAAAGAACACCA
This 556-nucleotide ribosomal RNA is filed under the name Bifidobacterium breve. Its description in RNAcentral is "bacterial SSU rRNA". It matches the Rfam family "Bacterial small subunit ribosomal RNA", at positions 146 to 711 of the family's 1533-position model. Lineage: Bacteria; Bacillati; Actinomycetota; Actinomycetes; Bifidobacteriales; Bifidobacteriaceae. The record is from RNAcentral.